Molecule: non-coding RNA, 75 nt
Organism: Myotis lucifugus (little brown bat)
Lineage: Eukaryota; Metazoa; Chordata; Mammalia; Chiroptera; Vespertilionidae
Source: Rfam
GGUGGUUCACGGGUGACGCAACCUGGAAUUGGGCUUCCUCCUCUCUGGUUCUGGGUGUGUCACCCGAGAACCGCA